GGGGGUGUAUCUCAGCAUUAGAGAAUUUAUUUAGCAUGUGGAAGGUUCUGGGUUCGAUCCCCUGCACUGCCA
RNAcentral lists this transfer RNA (72 nucleotides) under Ictidomys tridecemlineatus (thirteen-lined ground squirrel). RNAcentral describes it as "Spermophilus tridecemlineatus (thirteen-lined ground squirrel) tRNA". It matches the Rfam family "tRNA". Rfam says of the family: Transfer RNA (tRNA) molecules are approximately 80 nucleotides in length. The record is from Rfam by way of RNAcentral. Lineage: Eukaryota; Metazoa; Chordata; Mammalia; Rodentia; Sciuridae.